Long non-coding RNA from Cyprinus carpio (common carp), 1436 nucleotides. RefSeq lists it as uncharacterized. The transcript has 3 exons. The record is from RefSeq and is a predicted model, not a curated record. Lineage: Eukaryota; Metazoa; Chordata; Actinopteri; Cypriniformes; Cyprinidae.
CCGGAGACAGGAAGUAAAGCAGAAUUUGUAUUCGGACCUGCCUUCAUGCCUUAAAAUGCUGCCUCUGAAGGCAGCAUUUUUGAACUUUUGGACGCAGCCUAUAUACCAGAACAUCAGUGACCAGCAAGUGACCUGUUUAAGAGCUGGCUUAUCUUUAUGAGGAAGUUCUAAAGAAGGCUCCGUGCAUAGUCUCUUCCAUAUCAGUAUUGGUGAAUAUCUGCACACUAAUUUGUUCUAACAUUUAUGAGGUAGAAAUGAAAACAAGCUGUUCAUACAGUUUACAGCAGCACAUCACACGGUGGAUGGCAGCGCCUGCCUGCUUGCCUCCAGACUGUGCUUAAUCAUGCACGACCAGUGAGUGACCUGUUUUUAUUCAUGAGUAAAUGGUUAUGAUUAUAGUAACUGUUGAGGGAUACUGGAAGUUCCAGAGCUGACUUUGAACAGGAACUAGCGCUGAACCUAAUGACUAAAUUAGUUUCAGGCAUGUAGUCCAGGUGAGCAUAAUUACAGAGAUAAAUGGGCCAGGUAAGUGACAGUGGCUUGUGGAAUACUAUCAUGGGACAGGGCAUUUGUGGUGGAAAUCCCAGUGUUGCUACACCCCAUAUAUUCUAGAAGAACACACGCUUCCUCUGAGAUAAGCAGAGAAGUGAGUGCCUUGGGCAAGUGCCGAGCUGCGGGAUGAGAAAUGGUGCACCUGUGUGCUGUCUAAAGAUAGGCUAGCAGUGGAGGGCCAGGGAGCAGACUCCAGAGGACCCAUCCGUCUCAAUCGAAGGCUGCAGCUGACACCUUACAAAGAGGCCCAGAGAGGACCGUCCCGCCUGAAACACUGUCACAGCUCGUCUGACUGGCAGUUCAAGAGCUCUUCAUUAGAAUCCCGCUGGGUCUACGGCAAAGAAAAACAAUGUGGUUGGCCCAGGACCUGUAACCUUCCCAUUUAAUCACUGCUUCAAACUGCAUUGUCUCUCCCCACUGUGGGAGCUGGUUUCCAAGGCUCUGCUGAGACUCCUAGGCAAACAACCUCCAAUCUGAACGGGCUAACACAUCUCUCUCUGUGUCACACUGGCACACAAGGAGCUUUAGGUCGCUUUACAGCUCGAUUAGCACACAUUUUAUUAGCAACACAUGCCGUAAUGCAUAUACCAUCGCAUGUUAUUGCUUGUUUAAAGAAAUAUCAGAUGCUGAAUUAAUGUGCUGUGUUUUUACACAAACAGAUGCUUUUGGCAAACAAAUGGAGCUUGCCAGAAGAGGCGAACAGCACAUAUAUUAUUUUUUUUGUAAUUUGUGUUUGUAGAUUUGUACAGCAAUUUCCUGUGUUUGCUAUUAUUCAAAAGGUUUGUUUUAUGCAUUAUGUUCUCAGAAAUAUAUCACGUAGUGCGAAACAUUUUUUAUACCAUUAAUUAAAGUACUUUGUGUAAAGCAGAUACUAAUUCAAUUGC